Molecule: ribosomal RNA, 497 nt
Filed under: uncultured bacterium
Lineage: Bacteria
Description: partial 16S ribosomal RNA
Rfam family: Bacterial small subunit ribosomal RNA
Source: RNAcentral
GACGAACGCUGGCGGCGUGCCUAAUACAUGCAAGUCGAACGCUGAAGAGAGGAGCUUGCUCUUCUUGGAUGAGUUGCGAACGGGUGAGUAACGCGUAGGUAACCUGCCUGGUAGCGGGGGAUAACUAUUGGAAACGAUAGCUAAUACCGCAUAAAAUGGAUUAUCGCAUGAUAAUCCAUUGAAAGGUGCAAAUGCAUCACUACCAGAUGGACCUGCGUUGUAUUAGCUAGUUGGUGGGGUAACGGCUCACCAAGGCGACGAUACAUAGCCGACCUGAGAGGGUGAUCGGCCACACUGGGACUGAGACACGGCCCAGACGCCUACGGGAGGCAGCAGUAGGGAAUCUUCGGCAAUGGACGGAAGUCUGACCGAGCAACGCCGCGGGAGUGAAGAAGGUUGUCGGAUCGUAAAGCUCUGUUGUAAGAGAAGAACGAGUGUGAGAGUGGAAAGUUCACACUGUGACGGUAGCUGAACAGAAAGGGACGGCUAACUACGUG